Long non-coding RNA from Molossus molossus (Pallas's mastiff bat), 660 nucleotides. RefSeq lists it as uncharacterized. The transcript has 4 exons. The record is from RefSeq and is a predicted model, not a curated record. Lineage: Eukaryota; Metazoa; Chordata; Mammalia; Chiroptera; Molossidae.
AGGGCAACCUCUGAGAUCUUAAUGCAGCCCUGGGGACAGGGAUCUGGGUAGUUUAGAAGCUAUUCUCUAACUUUGUGCAGGUGCUUCAGACCCUGAAGCUGAGACCAGAGAACUGCAGAACAGCUCCAGCUUCGCAACUGAUGUCCAGGAGCAGAACCGGUGUAAUUGUGGAGGAGAUGCAUCUGUAAUAGAUUUCCAACCUGAGGAGGACAAAGACAUGAACAGUCAGGAGGCUCCCUCUGAAGACCCCCAGAAUGUGACUUAUGCACGACUGAGCCACUUGACCCUCAAACGAAAGACAAGUGCACCCUCUUCCUCCCCUAUAGAGGAACCGCCAGGUGAGCCCAGCGUGUAUGCUGCUCUGGCCAUCCACUAGCUUAAGAAGGACCCAGAACCCACUCUCCAGGGAGAGAGCUUGCAGAGACCCUGGAAGGCCCAGGAGCUGCCCCUAUGGACACUCAACUACUGACCCCGAGCCCGAGGACAUUUUGUAAGCAAGCAGGAUAUCACGAGACCUUAGAAGUCACCUUAUUCUGCAGAAGGAGAUAAAUGUGAGUUCUAAGUGCUUUUCCAGAAAUACAACAACACUCUUCUACAUAACCAAGGAUUGAAAGAAAAAAAUCACCAAUGAAGAUAAAAUCACAAAUGAGUGUGCCUCAG